Molecule: long non-coding RNA, 6674 nt
Filed under: Citrus sinensis (sweet orange)
Lineage: Eukaryota; Viridiplantae; Streptophyta; Magnoliopsida; Sapindales; Rutaceae
Description: long non-coding RNA (CSIN_LNC000987)
Source: RNAcentral
GGAAAUAUCACAAGUGUUGGGAAAGCUUAAUUCUCUCAAAAGUCUCAACAUUUCUCACAACAACUUGACAGGUGGUAUUCCAUCGUCGCUAAGAAAUCUGACAGAGCUUGAAUCUCUAGACCUCUCUUCAAACAAGCUUGCUGGACGUAUCCCAACACAACUGGCGAGUCUCAAUUAUCUUUCGGUGUUGAAUCUUUCGAACAACCAGCUCGAGGGACCCAUACCAGAAGGACCCCAGUUUAAUACAUUUGCAAAUGAUUCCUAUUCUGGUAACUCGGGACUGUGUGGAUUCCCAUUAUCAAAAAGCUGCAGCAUUGAUGAGGCACCAGAACCAACAACACCAACAGGAUUUUUCGAAGGAGACGACGCCUCAAGCUGGUUUGAUUGGAAGCUCGCUAAGUUGGGUUACGCGUCUGGAGUGGUGAUCGGCUUGUCCAUCGGAUACAUGGCAUUUGUGACUGGAAGGCCACAAUGGUUUGUAAGAAUGAUCGAAAGGAAGCAAUCCACGAAGCUGAGAAGGGUGAUCAGACGAGGCAGAGCAAGUAGAAGAAGUUUGUAGAUGCAUCUCUAAAGGCCCAGGUGAGUAAUUAUUAGUUUUGUCUUUUGGAAUUAUAAGCUGGUUUCUACUGUUCUUUAAGUAGAUAGCAUGCCGAUAUUAUCGUAAUCUAACAGUUGACUUGCGAAAAUCACAAUCCUAAUUAAUUUCAAAUAAUGCUUAUUAUCGACAUCUAUAGUGAGAAACAAAAUGAGGAUAAUGUAUAAGAAAGAAAAUUUUAACUGAAUUAUUGAUGCGAUUGUUUUUACUUUUAUUGCCAUUUCAUUAGAACAUGUCGUCACGGACGUACAUUGUUGCAGGAAAUUGUGUGCGGGUAACUUUGGUUUGGGCCACGUACUUCAAAUUUGGGCGUAGAAUUUUUUCUGUAUUUGCUUUUCAGCCUCGGAGAGCACAUUAUCCUUUCUGAUUUAUUGUAGAAUUUCUUAAUCAUAACGUUAGGAUUGGUUAUUUUAACCUAUUUGAUGUGGACUAAUUGAAUUUUGUAGAAGGUUUUGAGUGAAAAUUAAUAGAAAAUAUGAUUCUAACUUUUAAGUAUCAAGUGGUCAUAUUAAAAUUUUCCAAAUAUUGGUCUCGAUUAUAAAUUAACAUCUAAUUUUCUACAAAUGCUCUGCAUGUCUCAUUUGUUUUUUAUGAUCACAUAUGUUCGACAUUACAACAUUAAAAUGGUACAUGAAAUUGCAAAUAACAUGAUCCGAGCUAAUGUGGGUAUUUGCUUCUUCUUCUUCUUCAUAUUUAUUACUAACAUUCUACAAACAAGUCGUUUAUUUGAUGAAGAUUUGAACACUGCACAAAAUAGUAGCCGUUUAUAUAUGUAUGUGUGCACACACGCUUCUUUAGUGCCGGUGCCUUCAUUUUUUUUUUUUUAUGUAGAUAUGCUUUUAGGCUAUGCGAUUUAAGAUUGUUAAUUUUUAAUGGUAAUAAACCGUGCCGCCUUACCGUUCUUUCAAAAAUAACUCUUUAAAGUUGCACUGCUUAAGAGCAUGUCCGCAUUAAGAAAAUAAGGGCACAACACCCAAAAAUGAUGACAUACAUACAUACAUACCUAUGUGUGUGUGUGUCAGAGUAUUCGUAAUCUUAAGUUGAACAUCAAUAAUUAAUUGAAAAACAUUGUAAUUACCUAGGACUAUAGACACGAUCACGUUUUUUAUUAUCACACCAUUUCUUCAUUCAUAAGUUGAUAUUUAUUAAACUCAAAAACUUUAUUUUAUUGCUAAUUAUUAGAUCUAAAGUUUGACUCUAGAUGAUUUAUAUGAUAGAUUUUAUCACUAAUUAUCAAUUACUUAAAUGUAAUUUAUGGAAGCUUUGAUUAAAAGUUCAAGGAUGGUUUUUGACACAACUCAAAAGUGUUGUUUAUUACCAAGUAUAAGAGUGUCUGGUUAUAAUCUAACCCGGUGAGCCUAAGGUCGAACCACAGGAAGUUUAAAAUCUAGUAGUUAAUUAGUAAACAAAGAAAAUUAAAUGAGGGAAAGGAAAUUAAUAACAAUCAAUUUAAAAAUAUGCUACGAUUUCGGGAUCCACUCUCAGAUUUUAAAUUAUGGAUAUAACACUCUAAUUAUGGAUAUAACACUCUCAUAUAUUGUAUUUUGCAUUUAUUUUGCCAGUUAAUUAUUAUGUCACUUAAUCUUAACUAACCAUUAGUGUGAUAAAUAUGAGACCAAGUACCUAAUGUGCCACAACUAUAUUGAAGUGUCAACAUUAUGUCGAAAUACCAUAUAAUCUAAAGAUAUCUAAAUCGAUAAAUUAAUAUGACAUUAAAGUUGUUCAUUCUAAAUUAAUAUGACAUGAAUGUCGAAAAUUGUUCAUUCUAAAAUCUAAAUACCCAACUAUAGAGUUCCCAAGACAUUGUGGAAUUUGUCCAAUUAAGCUAUUGUUAGACAUAAAGAUGGCCAACAGGUUAAGUGGUGCGUGGCACGACACAGGCAUAAAAUAUUAAGGUCAUAAAAAUCUUAGUUUCAAACAAUAAAAACUCUAAUUGUUUUAUGUUUAUUAAAUAAUUAAAUGAUAUCAUGAUUUUAACAAAUAAAAUUAUAAAUAUCAUGACUUUAUAAAAUGACACAUCUAAACUUUUACAACUUCAAUAUUUUAUUUAUGAAAUCAUAAAUUAGUUAGAAGAAAUAAGCUUCAUUGCAAACAAAAUAUUUUUCACCAUUUAUACACAAAAAAUAAAAAUAAAAUUGUGAAUGAAAUGUGUUUUAUGAUAAAAUAGAAGUUGCAUUUUUAUUCAAUGGAGUUAAAGUGCAAGUACAAUAUUAAUAGCUCAAAUAAAAAUACGUAUCAUAUGCAUCAUUACAAUUGACCGUACAUCUCAACUAGGUUGGCACCCACUAAACCAUCUAUCAUUUACGAAAUUGCAUAUUCUUGUUUAAUUUUGAGUUCUUCAUUGAUAACGUUCAAAUUUUUAUUUUUUAUUUGAUUUUUUUCCUAAUUUUAGGGGGGAGAAAAGGUAAAGAAUGAGAGAUUACUUAAUAAAUUAAAUUUAGAGCAGAAGCACAGAAGCACUAAGCUCCUGCUAAACUGUUGUUCGACUUGCAAGUUUUGGAUCAAAUAAUAAAGUAUGUGCCUUGAGAAGUUAAUUAGCUCAUGGCCGGAAUGUUAUUUCUAAUCUAGAGCUAGCGUCCUGAGAAAAUUUUGCAUCCUAGCAGGGCAAAAGGUGCUGCAAUUGUGUGGCCGGAAUGUUAUUUCUAAUCUAGAGCUAGCAUCCUGAGAAAAUUUUGCAUCCUAGCAGGGAAAAAGGUGCUGCAAUUGUGUCUACUUUGUUGAAGUUUUCUGAAUUUUCUGAAGUUAACAUUGACAACAGAAGACUCAAUUGGUAGACAUUAUUCUUUAAUACUAAAUAUACAAUUGAGUUCACAGCUAUCAAAAAAAUGGGGCAGUUUUUUUAUUUAAUUACAAAAUUAUCCUUAUUGAAACCCAUAUAAGAGUAUUUAUAUUAAUUAGUUAUAUUGCUUCUUCAACUAUCAUCAAAUUCUUAUUCGAGUUCAUUAUUUAAGGAAUAAAUGUGUUAUCUAAAUAAUCUCAAAUGAUGUACUAAGUAAAUAUUUUGAGAAAUAAGACUCAUUAUGGCUCCUUUCUUUAGUUGUAUCUUUAAUUUCUUAUUAAUGAAAUUCUCACGCAUUGCCAAAAAAAAAUGUUGUUAGCGUCACCAUUGAAAGGGGCCAAAUUAUGUAUUGGUUUGAACCGCAUACGAACCAAUCGGAUUUUAUAUUUUCGAGUUCACCAUUAGAUUAUAAGCCUAAGCAACAAGACUUGGUGCUCAAAGUCUAAAAGUAUUAUAAAGACUUGGUAACUCCCUUAUUCACCUGCAUGGCAUAUCUGUUCUUGUGACUUCAAUAAGAAAAAAGAUAGUAUGGAUUAUUUAACUCAGCCUUUUCAACUUUUGAUUUGCCUCCAGUUAUUUCUCUUAUAUCUUCAGUGGACUUGACUGAAAUGCUCAUUAAUGACUAGAAAAAAUUAUCUUUAACUUAUAAGGUGGACUUGACUGAAAUGCUAAUUAAUGACUUUGAGAAAGAAAGACUUGUUCAGUUUUUCUAUACAUACCUCUUAAUUUGGAUAUAUCUUAGAUCACUAACUUUCAACUUUUCUGAUCCUUCCCAUGAGUUUCACUAUCAUAGCCGUGGAAAAGAAGUUUGGAGUUUUACAAAAUUCGCAAAAAAUAUUAAUUAAGAUUACUGCUCCGCAAUUCAUACAAUUGACCAGGGGAAAAGAUCACUUUAGAGCCUUAUAGGGGGAAGGGAUUGAAGGAAAGAUGCCUUUCUAUUUUAAGUUCAGUAGUAAGAAAGAGCAGGCAACUUGGCAUAAGUUUUCAGCUUAAGUUCAUACAGUUGACCAGUUACAUACAUAUAUGAUGACUUAAAAUAUCUGAGAGUUCGGGUUUCUUUUAGUAUAAACGCAUCUGCUUUUGGACAGGUUCGUGGAAAAACUAGAACAUGUUUUUGAUUUGGUAAAUUAUGUAUUGUUUUGACCGGUUACGUACAUAUAUGAUAACUAAUGGAAGGUCUAACAACUUAGCUUAACAAACUGUAACAGAGUCAAAACAGGGGAGAGAAGAUGAAUUGUGUUUGUGUAAAUGACUGUUAAUCUAGCUAGCUGUUACACCGGCAAAUAUGACAGAUAACGAACAUCUCGCCGAACUUAAGUAAAUAUCUAAAUGGUUAUUAAUUGGAUACAGCUUCAGCUUUUGGACUGGUUUGUGGAAAUUGAAAAAAUUUGAAAAGUGUUCCUCUUGAAGAAUCAAAGUCUACUUUAUACGUAAAGAAAGGGGAUCUCAGGAAAGAUAAUCCAUCAAUGUUCAGUUACAUUCGAGCGUGUUGACUACUUUCACGAUGAAAGACUUCUAUUGUCCCAAGGAGUUUAAUCGAGUGAUUUUUUAAGUAUUCCACUGACCAAUAUGAGAUUCCAAAGCAAGACUUGGUUCCCUAAGUCAAUAAGUAUCGAGGGGUCAAUAAGUAUCGAGGGGUCAACAAUAACUUUGUUGGUAAAAUUCCGAAUAUGUUUACCAACCUAACCCAACUUUCUCUUUUAAGCUUGGCAGAUAAUCAACUGAUUGGCUCGAUUCCAAGUUCAAUCUUUGAACUUGUUAAUUUGACAUUUGUCUCUCUUUCUUCUAACAAUUUCAGUGGCAGCGUUGAGCUUUACGAUUUUGCAAAGCUCAAAAAUCUUAAAUAUCUUAUUCUUUCUAAUAUUAGUUUAUCAGUUAGCACCAAAUUAACAGUCAACUCGUCUUUCCCUAAUCUUUCGGAUUUGGAUUUAUCGGCUUGCAAUAUAAGUGAGUUUCCAGACAUCUUGAGAACUCAACAUCAGUUAGAGUGGUUGGACCUUUCUAGAAACCAAAUCCGUGGUAGGAUUCCCAGUUGGAUGUGGGAGAUCGGAGUACAUACUUUGUAUGACCUAGAUCUUUCACGAAACUUCCUGACAAGCAUAGACCAUCUUCCGUGGAAAAAUCUCGAAUAUCUUACCCUUGAUUCGAACCUACUUCAAGGAUCACUUCCAGAUCUACCACCUCACAUGUUACAGCUUUCAAUUUCCAACAAUAGUUUGACUGGAGAGAUUCCUUCGUCAUUUUGUAAUUUGAGUUCCAUUCAAUAUCUUGACUUAUCCAACAAUAGCUUGAGUGGACAAAUUCCACAGUGUCUUGGAAACUCUACACUUGAAACUUUAGAUCUCGGAAUGAACAACUUCCAAGGUAGCAUCCCACAGACAUAUGCAAAGGGCUGCAACUUGGCUUAUCUUCGACUGUAUGGCAAUCACUUGGAGGGACCGUUACCACCAUCUUUGACUAACUGUGUCAAAUUGAAAAUUCUUGGUGUUGGGAAUAACAACUUUAGCGGUCAAAUUCCAGAAUGUCUUGGAAACUCAACACUUCAAGUCUUGGAUUUGAGAAUGAACAAUUUUAGUGGCAGCCUCCCACAAACAUUUGCAAAAAGUUGUGUUUUGGUAAGUCUUAACCUUAAUGGCAAUCGGUUGAAAGGACCAUUGCCUCCAUCUUUGGUUAAUUGUCAGUAUUUGGAAGUUUUAGAUGUUGGGAAUAAUCAGAUUGAUGACACCUUUCCCUACUGGUUAGACGUUCUUCUUGAAUUGCAAGUUCUUAUAUUGCGUUCUAAUAGAUUUCGUGGUCCCAUUGGUGAUACCAAAACAAGAGUUCCUUUCCCCAAGUUGCGAAUAAUUGAUCUCUCUUACAAUCAAUUCACCGGUGUUUUGCCAAUAUGGUGUCUGAAUGGUUUUAAAGCCAUGAUGCACGGGGAUGACAAUAGUAUUGAUGUCGAUUAUAUGACGUUGUCGAAUUAUUCUUACUAUGAAUCAAUAUCUUUGACUGUGAAAGGCAAUGACAUACAAAUGGAGAGGAUUUUAACCACUUUUGCAACUAUUGAUUUGUCGAGCAACAAAUUUCAAGGGGAAAUAUCAGUAGUGUUGGGAAAGCUUAAUUCACUCAAAAGUCUCAACAUUUCUCACGACAACCUGACAGGUGGUAUUCCAUCUUCGCUAGGAAAUCUGACACAGCUUGAAUCUCUAGACCUCUCUUCAAACAAGCUUGCUGGACGUAUCCCAACACAACUGGCGAGUCUCAAUUAUCUUUCGGUGUUGAAUCUUUCGAACAACCAGCUCGAGGGACCCAUACCAG